RNAcentral lists this ribosomal RNA (234 nucleotides) under uncultured Lactobacillus sp. RNAcentral's name for it is "partial 16S ribosomal RNA". It matches the Rfam family "Bacterial small subunit ribosomal RNA", at positions 127 to 356 of the family's 1533-position model. Lineage: Bacteria; Bacillati; Bacillota; Bacilli; Lactobacillales; Lactobacillaceae. The record is from RNAcentral.
UGCCCAAGAGAUCGGGAUAACACCUGGAAACAGAUGCUAAUACCGGAUAACAACAGAUGAUGCCUAUCAACUGUUUAAAAGAUGGUUCUGCUAUCACUCUUGGAUGGACCUGCGGUGCAUUAGCUAGUUGGUAGGGUAACGGCCUACCAAGGCAUGAUGCAUAGCCGAGUUGAGAGACUGAUCGGCCACAUUGGGACUGAGACACGGCCCAAACUCCUACGGGAGGCAGCAGCG